This 303-nucleotide small RNA is filed under the name Vigna angularis var. angularis. Its description in RNAcentral is "Non-protein coding transcript". Lineage: Eukaryota; Viridiplantae; Streptophyta; Magnoliopsida; Fabales; Fabaceae. The record is from RNAcentral.
GGAAUAAGCAAGAAGAGAGGAUGGAAGGAGGAAAAGCCGAGAGGAAGGAAGAGAGUUUGGAAGCUGCUGAGAAGGAGAAAAGGAGAGACCGAGAGAGUGGAGGGAAUGGAGGCACAAUGAAAUAACUGGAGGGAGUAUUGGACGGUUACGGGCAAGCCACUGCAAAGAAAGGAGAAGUUUUUAGAGAGGUAUGGACCAGAAAAAGAGGAGCUGCAAUGAAGAAAAGGAAAGUGGAAGAAGAUAGGAUCAUUGACUAUCACAGAUGGCGAGGAGGUUCGUUUGGAAGCAGCUUUGGAGGAAGAU